AUGAUGAUUUGAUUAAUAAAAUAUUAAAAAAUUUUUCUAAUUUUUAUUCUGCUUUGAACAAAGUCUUCUUGAAUCAUCAUAUGAUUAGAGUAUGUAGGAUAUGAUGUUCUCUUACUAGGAGUGAUCGAUUCUUUAUUAACCUCCUCAUAACCUUUGUACACAAUCCACUAUAUUCAAGAUACCUCAUACAUAACUCUAGUCAUGAAUGAGUAUGAACUAAAAUAUAAAUUUAUGUGGAUAAAUUUUCAUGGUGAUCUUAGGUUUAAAGAUCAGUUGCACUACUUCCACUUAAAGA
RNAcentral lists this long non-coding RNA (295 nucleotides) under Elaeis guineensis (African oil palm). RNAcentral describes it as "long non-coding RNA (EGUI_LNC037894)". Lineage: Eukaryota; Viridiplantae; Streptophyta; Magnoliopsida; Arecales; Arecaceae. The record is from RNAcentral.